Molecule: long non-coding RNA, 217 nt
Filed under: Lathyrus oleraceus (garden pea)
Lineage: Eukaryota; Viridiplantae; Streptophyta; Magnoliopsida; Fabales; Fabaceae
Description: Pisum sativum (pea) long non-coding RNA (PSAT_LNC026025)
Source: RNAcentral
AGAUUAGUUUUUUUCUUUUUCUUUCUUUUCUUUUUUCUUCAUUCUUUUUUUUUAUUGCAUUUCUUUUGAAAAUAAACAUGCUAUGAUGCAAAUGAUGCAGACAAGACUGGCAGGUUGUGCAUCUCGGACCACAGGAUCGAAGCUUCGGCUCGAACUCGGAACCACAAUUCAUCUGAAACCCAAAGUCAACUGAUAAACUGUCGUCUGAACCCAAUCU